GACGAACGCUGGCGGCGUGCUUAACACAUGCAAGUCGAACGGAAAGGCCCUGCUUUUGUGGGGUGCUCGAGUGGCGAACGGGUGAGUAACACGUGAGUAACCUGCCCUUGACUUUGGGAUAACUUCAGGAAACUGGGGCUAAUACCGGAUAGGAGCUCCUGCUGCAUGGUGGGGGUUGGAAAGUUUCGGCGGUUGGGGAUGGACUCGCGGCUUAUCAGCUUGUUGGUGGGGUAGUGGCUUACCAAGGCUUUGACGGGUAGCCGGCCUGAGAGGGUGACCGGCCACAUUGGGACUGAGAUACGGCCCAGGCUCCUACGGGAGGCAGCAGUGGGGAAUAUUACACAAUGAGCGGGAGCCUGAUGCAGCAACGCCGCGUGCGGGAUGACGGCCUUCGGGUUGUAACCCGCUUUCGCCUGUGACGAAGCGUGAGUGACGGUAAUGGGUAAAGAAGCACCGGCUAACUACGUG
This 468-nucleotide ribosomal RNA is filed under the name uncultured bacterium. RNAcentral's name for it is "partial 16S ribosomal RNA". It matches the Rfam family "Bacterial small subunit ribosomal RNA", at positions 28 to 507 of the family's 1533-position model. The record is from RNAcentral.